Non-coding RNA from Clathrospora elynae, 85 nucleotides. The record is from the annotation of a GenBank genome assembly. NCBI's taxonomy places the organism in Eukaryota, Fungi, Ascomycota, Dothideomycetes, Pleosporales, Diademaceae.
UCCUCCGUGGCGCAAUUGGCUAGCGCGUUCGACUGUUACUUGUUAGCACAUCGAGAGGUUGAAAGUUCGAGCCUUUCCGGGGGAG